UGCAUCGGCCGGGAAUCGAACCGGGCCCGCCCGCUUGGCAGGCGAGCAUUCUAUCACUGAACCACCGAUGG
This 71-nucleotide transfer RNA is filed under the name Cordylochernes scorpioides. RNAcentral's name for it is "tRNA-Gly". Lineage: Eukaryota; Metazoa; Arthropoda; Arachnida; Pseudoscorpiones; Chernetidae. The record is from RNAcentral.